AUUGAACGCUAACGGCGUGCCUAACACAUGCAAGUCGAGCGGCAGCAUGACUGUAGCAAUACAGUUGAUGGCGAGCGGCGGACGGGUGAGUAAUGCAUAGGAAUCUGCCUUGUAGUGGGGGAUAACCAGGGGAAACUCGGGCUAAUACCGCAUAAUCUCUACGGAGCAAAGUGGGGGACCUUCGGGCCCUACGCUAAAAGAUGAGCCUAUGUUGGAUUAGCUAGUUGGUAGGGUAAAAGCCUACCAAGGCAACGAUCCAUAGCUGGUCUGAGAGGAUGAUCAGCCACACUGGGACUGAGACACGGCCCAGACUCCUACGGGAGGCAGCAGUGGGGAAUAUUGGACAAUGGGCGAAAGCCUGAUCCAGCAACGCCGUGUGUGUGAAGAAGGCCUUCGGGUUGUAAAGCACUUUUAGUGGGAAAGAAAAGUUCAUGGCUAAUAUCCAUGAAUGCUGACGUUACCCACAGAAAAAGCACUGGCUAACUCUGUGCCAGCAGCCGCGGUAA
Molecule: ribosomal RNA, 506 nt
Filed under: uncultured bacterium
Lineage: Bacteria
Description: partial 16S ribosomal RNA
Rfam family: Bacterial small subunit ribosomal RNA
Source: RNAcentral